RNAcentral lists this microRNA (22 nucleotides) under Drosophila grimshawi. RNAcentral describes it as "dgr-miR-309". Its record names the gene dgr-miR-309. The record is from miRBase by way of RNAcentral. Lineage: Eukaryota; Metazoa; Arthropoda; Insecta; Diptera; Drosophilidae. RNAcentral also lists the same sequence under 2 other names.
UCACUGGGUGAAGUUUGUCGUA